This 594-nucleotide ribosomal RNA is filed under the name uncultured Bacteroidota bacterium. Its description in RNAcentral is "bacterial SSU rRNA". It matches the Rfam family "Bacterial small subunit ribosomal RNA", at positions 122 to 715 of the family's 1533-position model. Lineage: Bacteria; Pseudomonadati; Bacteroidota. The record is from RNAcentral.
CAACCUACCGAUAACUCUGGAAUAGCCUUUCGAAAGAAAGAUUAAUACCGGAUAGUAUACGAAUAUCGCAUGAUAUUUUUAUUAAAGAAUUUCGGUUAUCGAUGGGGAUGCGUUCCAUUAGUUUGUUGGCGGGGUAACGGCCCACCAAGACUACGAUGGAUAGGGGUUCUGAGAGGAAGGUCCCCCACAUUGGAACUGAGACACGGUUCAAACUCCUACGGGAGGCAGCAGUGAGGAAUAUUGGUCAAUGGGCGCAGGCCUGAACCAGCCAAGUAGCGUGAAGGAUGAAGGCUCUAUGGGUCGUAAACUUCUUUUAUAUGGGAAUAAAGUUUUCCACGUGUGGAAUUUUGUAUGUACCAUAUGAAUAAGGAUCGGCUAACUCCGUGCCAGCAGCCGCGGUAAUACGGAGGAUCCGAGCGUUAUCCGGAUUUAUUGGGUUUAAAGGGAGCGUAGGUGGAUUGUUAAGUCAGUUGUGAAAGUUUGCGGCUCAACCGUAAAAUUGCAGUUGAAACUGGUAGUCUUGAGUACAGUAGAGGUGGGCGGAAUUCGUGGUGUAGCGGUGAAAUGCUUAGAUAUCACGAAGAACUCCGAUUG